This 486-nucleotide ribosomal RNA is filed under the name uncultured bacterium. Its description in RNAcentral is "partial 16S ribosomal RNA". It matches the Rfam family "Bacterial small subunit ribosomal RNA", at positions 30 to 507 of the family's 1533-position model. The record is from RNAcentral.
AUUGAACGCUGGCGGCAUGCCUUACACAUGCAAGUCGAACGGCAGCACGGGUGCUUGCACCUGGUGGCGAGUGGCGAACGGGUGAGUAAUACAUCGGAACAUGUCCUGUAGUGGGGGAUAGCCCGGCGAAAGCUGGAUUAAUACCGCAUACGAUCUACGGAUGAAAGCGGGGGACCUUCGGGCCUCGCGCUAUAGGGUUGGCCGAUGGCUGAUUAGCUAGUUAGUGGGGUAAAGGCCUACCAAGGCGACGAUCAGUAGCUGGUCUGAGAGGACGACCAGCCACACUGGGACUGAGACACGGCCCAGACUCCUACGGGAGGCAGCAGUGGGGAAUUUUGGACAAUGGGCGAAAGCCUGAUCCAGCAAUGCCGCGUGUGUGAAGAAGGCCUUCGGGUUGUAAAGCACUUUUGUCCGGAAAGAAAUCCUUGGCCCUAAUACGGUCGGGGGAUGACGGUACCGGAAGAAUAAGCACCGGCUAACUACGUG